UAAAGCUCUUUUACCCGGGAUGAUAAUGACAGUACCGGGAGAAUAAGCCCCGGCUAACUUCCGGUGCCAGCAGCCGCGGUAAUACGGAGGGGGCUAGCGUUGUUCGGAAUUACUGGGCGUAAAGCGCACGUAGGCGGCGAUUUAAGUCAGAGGUGAAAGCCCGGGGCUCAACCCCGGAAUAGCCUUUGAGACUGGAUUGCUUGAAUCUUGGAGAGGCGGGUGGAAUUCCGAGUGUAGAGGUGAAAUUCNUAGAUAUUCGGAAGAACACCAGUGGCGAAGGCGGCCCGCUGGACAAGUAUUGACGCUGAGGUGCGAAAGCGUGGGGAGCAUACAGGAUUAGAUACCCUGGUAGUCCACGCCGUAAACAGAUGAUAACUG
Molecule: ribosomal RNA, 378 nt
Filed under: alpha proteobacterium so06
Lineage: Bacteria; Pseudomonadati; Pseudomonadota; Alphaproteobacteria
Description: bacterial SSU rRNA
Rfam family: Bacterial small subunit ribosomal RNA
Source: RNAcentral